UAGGGAAUCUUCGGCAAUGGACGAAAGUCUGACCGAGCAACGCCGCGUGAGUGAAGAAGGUUUUCGGAUCGUAAAACUCUGUUGUUAGAGAAGAACAAGGACGUUAGUAACUGAACGUCCCCUGACGGUAUCUAACCAGAAAGCCACGGCUAACUACGUGCCAGCAGCCGCGGUAAUACGUAGGUGGCAAGCGUUGUCCGGAUUUAUUGGGCGUAAAGCGAGCGCAGGCGGUUUCUUAAGUCUGAUGUGAAAGCCCCCGGCUCAACCGGGGAGGGUCAUUGGAAACUGGGAGACUUGGGUGCAGAAGAGGAGAGUGGAAUUCCAUGUGUGGCGGUGAAAUGCGUAGAUAUAUGGAGGAACAACAGUGGCGAAGGCGGCUCUCUGGUCUGUAACUGACGCUGAGGCUCGAAAGCGUGGGGAGCAAACAGG
This 429-nucleotide ribosomal RNA is filed under the name Chloroflexota bacterium. RNAcentral's name for it is "Chloroflexi bacterium partial 16S ribosomal RNA". It matches the Rfam family "Bacterial small subunit ribosomal RNA", at positions 355 to 776 of the family's 1533-position model. Lineage: Bacteria; Bacillati; Chloroflexota. The record is from RNAcentral.